RNAcentral lists this ribosomal RNA (478 nucleotides) under uncultured bacterium. RNAcentral's name for it is "partial 16S ribosomal RNA". It matches the Rfam family "Bacterial small subunit ribosomal RNA", at positions 28 to 523 of the family's 1533-position model. The record is from RNAcentral.
GACGAACGCUGGCGGCGUGCUUAACACAUGCAAGUCGAACGGUAAGGCCCUUCGGGGUACACGAGUGGCGAACGGGUGAGUAACACGUGGGUGAUCUGCCCUGCACUUCGGGAUAAGCCUGGGAAACUGGGUCUAAUACCGGAUAGGACCCUGGGAUGCAUGUCCUGGGGUGGAAAGCUUUUGCGGUGUGGGAUGGGCCCGCGGCCUAUCAGCUUGUUGGUGGGGUGAUGGCCUACCAAGGCGACGACGGGUAGCCGGCCUGAGAGGGUGACCGGCCACACUGGGCCUCAGAUACGGCCCAGACUCCUACGUGAGGCAGCAGUGGGGAAUAUUGCACAAUGGGCGCAAGCCUGAUGCAGCGACGCCGCGUGAGGGAUGACGGCCUUCGGGUUGUAAACCUCUUUCAGCACCGACGAAGCGCAAGUGACGGUAGGUGCAGAAGAAGGACCGGCCAACUACGUGCCAGCCGCCGCGGUAA